Molecule: ribosomal RNA, 1409 nt
Rfam family: Bacterial small subunit ribosomal RNA
GGUGCUUGCACCGGGGUGGAUGAGUGGCGAACGGGUGAGUAACACGUGAGUAACCUGCCCCUGACUUCGGGAUAAGCCCGGGAAACUGGGUCUAAUACCGGAUAUGACCGUUCCUCGCAUGAGGGAUGGUGGAAAGUUUUUUCGGUUGGGGAUGGGCUCGCGGCCUAUCAGCUAGAUGGUGGGGUAAUGGCCCACCAUGGCGACGACGGGUAGCCGGCCUGAGAGGGCGACCGGCCACACUGGGACUGAGACACGGCCCAGACUCCUACGGGAGGCAGCAGUGGGGAAUAUUGCACAAUGGGGGAAACCCUGAUGCAGCGACGCAGCGUGCGGGAUGACGGCCUUCGGGUUGUAAACCGCUUUCAGCAGGGAAGAAGCCCCUCUGGGUGACGGUACCUGCAGAAGAAGUACCGGCUAACUACUUGCCACCAGCCGCGGUAAUACUUAGGGUACGAGCGUUGUCCGGAAUUAUUGGGCGUAAAGAGCUCGUAGGUGGUUGGUCACGUCUGCUGUGGAAACGCAACGCUUAACGUUGCGCGUGCAGUGGGUACGGGCUGACUACAGUGCAGUAGGAGAGUCUGGAAUUCCUGGUGUAGCGGUGAAAUGCUCAGAUAUCAUGAGGAACACCGGUGGCGAAGGCGGGACUCUGGUCUGUUACUGACACUGAUGAGCGAAAGCAUGGUGAGCGAACAAGAUUAUAUACCCUGGUAGUCCAUGCCGUAAACGAUGGGCACUACGUGUGGGGGACAUUCCACGUUCUCCCUCGCCGUAGCUAACGCAUUAAGUGCCCCGCCUGGGGAGUACGGUCGCAAGGCUAAAACUCAAAGGAAUUGACGGGGGCCCGCAACAAGCGGCGGAGCAUGCGGAUUAAUUCGAUGCAACGCGAAGAACCUUACCAAGGCUUGACAUACACCAGACCGGGCUGGAAACAGUCCUUUCCCCUUUGGGGUUGGUGUACAGGUGGUGCAUGGUUGUCGUCAGCUCGUGUCGUGAGAUGUUGGGUUAAGUCCCGCAACGAGCGCAACCCUCGUUCUAUGUUGCCAGCACGUGAUGGUGGGAACUCAUAGGAGACUGCCGGGGUCAACUCGGAGGAAGGUGGGGAUGACGUCAAAUCAUCAUGCCCUUUAUGUCUUGGGCUUCACGCAUGCUACAAUGGCUGGUACAGAGAGAUGCGAGACCGUGAGGUUUUAGCGAAUCCCUUAAAGCCAGUCUCAGUUCGGAUCGUAGUCUGCAAUUCGACUACGUGAAGUCGGAGUCGCUAGUAAUCGCAGAUCAGCAACGCUGCGGUGAAUACGUUCCCGGGCCUUGUACACACCGCCCGUCAAGUCACGAAAGUCGGUAACACCCGAAGCCGGUGGCCCAACCCCCUUGUGGGGAGGGGGCCGUCUAAGGUGGGACUGGCAAUUGGG